RNAcentral lists this ribosomal RNA (253 nucleotides) under uncultured bacterium. RNAcentral describes it as "partial 16S ribosomal RNA". It matches the Rfam family "Bacterial small subunit ribosomal RNA", at positions 524 to 776 of the family's 1533-position model. The record is from RNAcentral.
UACAGAGGUGGCAAGCGUUGUUCGGAAUUACUGGGCGUAAAGGGCGCGUAGGCGGUCUUUUAAGUUCCGUGUGAAAUCCCCGAGCUCAACUCGGGAACUGCGUUCGAUACUGGUGGGCUUGAAUCCGGGAGAGGGAUGCGGAAUUCCAGGUGUAGCGGUGAAAUGCGUAGAUAUCUGGAGGAACACCGGUGGCGAAGGCGGCAUCCUGGACCGGCAUUGACGCUGAGGCGCGAAAGCUAGGGGAGCAAACGGG